This 400-nucleotide ribosomal RNA is filed under the name uncultured bacterium. RNAcentral describes it as "bacterial SSU rRNA". It matches the Rfam family "Bacterial small subunit ribosomal RNA", at positions 355 to 747 of the family's 1533-position model. The record is from RNAcentral.
UGGGGAAUCUUGCGCAAUGCGCGAAAGCGUGACGCAGCAACGCCGCGUGGGGGAAGAAGGCCUUCGGGUUGUAAACCCCUUUCAGGAGGGACGAAGCCUAGGCCGUUAAUAGCGGUCCUAGGUGACGGUACCUCCAGAAGAAGCCCCGGCUAACUACGUGCCAGCAGCCGCGGUAAUACGUAGGGGGCAAGCGUUGUCCGGAAUUAUUGGGCGUAAAGCGCGUGUAGGCGGUCCGAUAAGUCGGUUGUGAAAGUCCAGGGCUCAACUCUGGAAUGCCGGCCGAUACUGUCGGACUAGAGUCCGGAAGAGGCAAGUGGAAUUCCCGGUGUAGCGGUGAAAUGCGCAGAUAUCGGGAGGAACACCAACGGCGAAGGCAGCUUGCUGGGACGGUACUGACGCU